Molecule: RNA transcript, 7599 nt
Organism: Colius striatus (speckled mousebird)
Lineage: Eukaryota; Metazoa; Chordata; Aves; Coliiformes; Coliidae
Gene: TICRR
Gene name: TOPBP1 interacting checkpoint and replication regulator
Exons: 23
Source: RefSeq, a predicted model, not a curated record
GCGGCGGGCGCGCCGUGAGGGGCUGCAGCCGGGCGCUGGGGCAGCGGGGCCCUGCCAUGGCGUGCUCGCACAGCGUGGUGUUCCUCCUGGACACGGCCAGCCCGGGCCGCCGCACGCGGCUCCGGCGCGGCGCCCUGCGCCUCCUCACGCACCUGGGCUGCCGCUUCGGCCUGACCCGCCUCCGCUGGGCCUUCAGGUUCUUCGACUCGCUCGGGGGACGCGGCGGAGCUUCGCGCGGCGGCGGCUUCCGCCCGCCGGGGCCCCACGCCUGGGCCCGCUUCGAGGAGGAGCUGGCGGAGCGGCUGGAGGCUCGGGGACCCGCCGCCGUCCUGCCGGGCCCUGCGUCCCGCGCCGCCCUCACCCACCACGGCCUCAAAGAGACGCUCCUCGACUUCCAGUGGGACCGCCCAGAGAUCGCGUCCCCCACCAAGCCGCUCCGCAGGAGCCGGAGGACGGGGUCGGCCGCCGGAGAGCCCCCCGAGAGCCAGGCGCCUCCCGAGGGUUUUGUUAACGCCAUCUUCCUCUUCUCCCCCUGCCCCUACUCGGGGAAGGAGCUGCGGUGGUUUGUAUCGGGGAACGAUGCCCCUUCCUCCCCUCGCGAGCCGCCCACAGCCCAGGAGCUGGCGGAGAAACUCCUACCCAAGAGCGUCCACGAGUUGAUUGUGAACCAGAAAAUCACGGUCUUCUGGGUGGACACUGCCGAGUGUUCUCAGCUGACGGAAUCCCCAGAUCAUGUUGGAUACUGGACAAUGUUUGAACUCAUCUGUCAGAUGGGAGGCACCAUUUUGCCAUCUGAAACUUUAGUACAGUGUUGGAGUCACCAGCAGGCAGAUCUUGCUCGUGGCUUUCCUGGAGACUCGGGCUCCCCAGUGCCACAGGCUGUGCCUUGGACCACACUCCUGCCGUUGGAUGCUACUUUGAACUUCUUGCUCUCCAAACCCUCUGUAUUUCAGGCAGUUUUCCCCCAGCAAGAAGGAACAUUGUUCCUCAGCAUGCCUGGAGGAAAGAAACAAGAAAGCUGUGCUGUGAUCCUGGAACCCCUUGCCAUGAGCCAAAAACAACUGCAGUGUCCAGUCAACAUCUUCUUGAAAGGCAGCUUGACAGAUUGGAGCUUAGUGCAGGCUGGCUGCUUCCUCACAGAGAGCUGGAUACUGCAGAGCUCGCGGGCUGAGCAGGCAGAAGAUAACAGGUCACUGUUUCAUCAGCUGCUAAGGACUCUAGUGACUGAAGAACUGCACAUGGUUGCUGAAAUGUCUCUAUGUGAAACUUGGUGCCCCUGCACUGCAGUUCUAUCUCCACUUUCUGCAAGUGCUGCAGUUCUGACUGUAGUUGGUGCUGAGAAGGCUGCUGCAGCUCAGCUCAGCAGCCUGGAAGGAGCUAUAGUGGGGAGCUCUUCCCAGGAUCACCCUCUUCACCUCCCAGACAUUGUGAACAGCGUGUUGACUAAAGUCCACUCAUUGAGGGAAGAUUCUCUGCCCAAUAUGGAAGAAGAAACUCCUGUCCCAGAGUGGGUCCAACGGGAACUGUCCCAGGCAGGGCCCUGGCAUCCCUCGGUGCUUGAGGCGUGGUACCCAGCAUCAAACGCUUGUGGAGCCAGCACAGAUCUGAUGGAGACCUUCAGGCUCCUGCAUGUUCCUUCUGCUAAUCAGAAGGAUGAUACAGACCAAGCUGAAGCAGAACUCUCAGAAAGUCUGUCUGAGCUGUACCAGAGAAAAUUCAGUGAAACAUCUACUGCAGCUGGACCAGGAAAUAACAAAAAGAGACGUGGGGUUCCCCGAACUCCAGUCAGGCAGAAGAUGAAGACCAUGUCCAGAUCCCUGCAGAUGCUCAACGUAGCAAGACUGAAUGUAAAAGCUCAGAAGUUUCAACCUGAUGGUGCACCACUAACAGUGAAUGAAAAGGUGCCACAGAAGCUUUCAGCAAAGAGAUUGGAUGAAAAGGUGGAAGAAAAGGACAAGGCACUUAAAAUAUCGAUAGAUCUCAAAACCGAGGAGGAACUGCAGUCGCAUUUAACUGCGAGUUACCAGAAGGCUGUGGCUGAGGGGGUUCUUUCAUCUGUAUGUGCCCAGAGUAUGAUCAUGGCCAUAAAAAGGUUCUUGAAAGUACGAGAUGCCAAAGAGAAGGAGGUGGCCUGUUUGGAAAGAGUCAGAAACCAUCUCCUGAAGACCAGCAAAAUGCUCAGACAACAGCAUGGCUUACAGAAGGAGACCAAAGUCAGAGAGUGCCGACUUCAGGUGUUUUUGCGCCUGGAGUUGUGUCUUCAGUGCCCUUCACUGCAGAGCAACACGGACGAAACAGAGCAGCUCUUGGAAGAGAUGACAGAUAUGCUGCGCAUUUUGUGUCUGACUGAAGACCCAGGGUAUCUUACGAAGUUUCUAGAGGAAAUACUAGAAUUGUAUAUGAAUUCUAUACCAAAGACCCUUGGAGAUAUUUACUAUGGUCUCGGUACACAAAUACCCCCGAAGCUGGCCUCUGUUCUGCCUUCAGACUUCUUCAGUGAUGACUCCAUGACGCUGGAGAGCAAAUCUCCAGGCCUUCCACCAUCAUUAUCAUCUGCUUUAACCCCCAGCACUGUUUGCCUACGCAGUGAGGGUGAUCAGCUGGAGGAACUGCGCACCAGGUCUGCCAAAAAGAGAAGGAGCAACGUAUUAGCCAGACACAGGAGCAUGACAGAAGCACCACAGAACCUGCGUCAAAUUGAGAUUCCCAAGAUAACCAAGAAUCCCAUCAGGAAGGAGAGCUUGCGUUCCUACCUCGUCUCUGAGAAGUCCCAACAGAUGCCUCUGUUGCAGAAAGAAGCAGUGCAAGAGGUUACAAAAGUAAGGAGGAACCUCUUCAAUGAAGAGAUACUUUCACCAUCAAAAAGGUCUAUGAAGAAGAUGCCUAGGAGCCAGUCAGUAUCUGCUGUGGAAGGCUUAAGAUACAAAUGCACUGAUGAAGGCACUAAAGACCAUCGCAAGUUGUUGACCAAGAGAGUUGCAGAAACACCACUACAUAAGCAGGUCUCCAGGAGACUACUGCACAAGCAGAUCAAGGGCCGGUCUUCUGAUUCAGGCUGUGACACUGGUGUUGUAGAAGAAUCUCCAGAGAAGGCCAUCAAUGAAGCAGGUUUGAGGAGAAGCCCACGCAUCAAACAGCUGUCUUUGACUAGGACCUGCUCUGGAGUUUUCUAUUCCACUACAGAGCCCAGCUCACAAAAUUCACAGCGAGUCUGUUGGGGACAAGAAGGGGAGAGCUGUGCACUGCAGGAUGUAGAAGGCAUUAAGCAGCAUUCAGAGAGCCCCACUGUCCAGACCCCCAAGAGGUUUUUCUUUGGUGCAGUCACUGACACAUGUAGUCUUGCAGCGAAGCAUUCGCCUGGAAGGAGGAGAAGAAAAGAUUCCUUACCCUUGGAGCUGCCUGCCUGUCAGACUCCUAGAAAAACACCUCGGAAAUUUGCCCAGAAGGCCCCAAAUUCUGCCAGUAAGCUGCCAAGGAGAUCACCUCGCUUUCUCCACAAGACACCACAGCAGCUGGAGAAGACUCCUGGCAGAAGCCCAGCUGCUAAGCAGACUGCAGCCAGGUGUUUGGGAAAGUACUUUUCUCAGCCUCCACAAAGGGUCAAGUCACCAUCUACCUCAUCUGAAAGUAAGAGGAUUCACUCGCUGCAAACAACGUCUAAGGAUUGUUCUCCAGCUGAAAGGCUUUCACCUCCUUGCAAAGAGACUAGCUUACAAAUACCAGAACAGGAAGGAUUUGUAGUGCUCAGUGCCUCCUUCCCUCUGACAGGUUCAGAUCCAGCUCCUCCUUCCCCCUCUGCCGUCCAGGAAAGGCAUUUUACAGAACUGCAUACUCCGAGACGUUCCUUGAGAUACUUCUCAAAAUUAGCAUCUCCGGUUGGCACCCGGAGGCAAAUCCUCCCACAGGAAACUCAGGUACAGUCAGAUCCAUUAUCUCAAGCAACUAAAAGUACCCCCAGGAAAGCUGAAGCUCCAGGUUUGAGGUCAUGUGCCAGCCCAGGGAGUGCAGAGACAUCGCCGCUCGCUGCCAGGCUGGAGCCUCCCUUUGCUCCUCCCCUCUGUGAAGGUUCCACGGACACUGUGGCAACCUGCUCUCCUUCCCACCUGCAGCUUAGGGAGCCUGACUGGCAGCUUGGUGCAUCUCAACCGUCUUUUCAAAGAUCUCCAGGUGUUACUGGCACUUCACUCGGGUCCCUGCUUCACACAUCUGAGCAGACCAACUGCAAACCUCAUUCUGGAGGGGAGAACCUCACACGGGCACAUGCAACACCUUCUGAAAGUCAGGACAGUCAGCACCUUAGUGGUGGUGACUCUUCCACAGAGUGCCUUCAGCUUUGUCAGUCCCAAGUUACUGAAAAUACCCCUGAAUUGGAGAAAAAUAAACAGAGGGAUGUAGUGGCUCAAAAGUCUUCUCCAGGAGAGAGCUCAGAAAACUUGGAAAAGCAUUUGUCUCCAAAGGCUUGUGCUGGAGGGCAGGUACAGACACAGAGUGCAGAGACAGAGUGUGAGCAGUUGGUUGAGGAGGGGAACUCCUGUGCAAACACCUGUGAGUCCUCCUUAAGUGGUUCUCAAACACUUAGUGAUGACUUAGAAUCAAAAACUGUGCUGAGAGAAGAACAUACGGGGCUGAAGGCUCUGAGUCCUAAGAGACACUCCAGAUUCACCCUGAAUACUUCGCCUCCUACACCAAAGUCUGCUCCUGCCUAUUCUCUACGCUGCACUGCGGACAGGAGGCAGCGGGAGGCUGCAGCACGGAUGGGAGAUCCUCAGCUUCUAGCCCGCUUCUCUACUCCUAAAAGCCGUUCCAAGCUGCCUUCUGCUAGCCCCCCAACCUACGAAGUUGAACUGGAAAUGCAAGCUUCGGGCCUGCCCAAACUUCGCAUCAAGAAAAUUGGCUCUUGCUCGUCGUUGGAAGUUCAGCCUGAAGCAAGUGCCAGCAAACCCAAAGGAGGAGAAAGCCCCUUUGGUGAUGUAGCUGUGACCUGGUGCAGCAAGCACCCAGGGAAACUGGCAGCUGCCUGUGUCUCACCGUCCUGCUUUCGCUCUUUCCACAGUACCCCUGGGAAAGGUGGGGGGCAGACCUACAUAUGCCAGUCAUACACCCCGACAAGCUGUGCCUCCAAUGCCACCUCCCCGUCCCCCUUAGAAGCAGGAGUUCCCUGGACACCUUCUCCAAAGCAGAUGGGGAAGACAACCCCUGAUGCCAUCAAGGACUGGCCUCGGAGAAAGAGAGCAGCUGGCAGCACUGCAACUGCAGGCUGUGCUCCCAGUGAGAAGAGUGCUGAUGAACAGAGGAGAAUGGCAAUGGGCAGAGAAGGGGAGACAAAGACCUCAGAGCAUUGCAGCAGCAAAGUAGCAAAUACUCUUGGAGAAUUUGAACUGGAAGGGAUUUACAGGCUCCAGGAUCAGGCAUCUCCCAGUGACUCUGACCCCGGGGCUGAUGAGGACUCAGCCAGGGGAACUUUUGGCCUGAAGUCUCGGAAGCGCGUCUUUACGUAUCUGUCGCCAGCAAAGGAGGAGAAGCGUGAUGCCAAGAGAUCUUGCACUGACAGGUGCAACUUGGGCCUCACUGGCCAUUCUGCAGAUGAAGGCAACAGAAACAAAUGGAGGACGGACUCUGGGCCUCCUGAGAAACCAGGAGCAUGUGCACUCAUAACUCCUGAGCAUCACAGCUGUGUAGGGGAUGACGAGGUCUUCCUUUUGUCAGGCUCGACGCCCCCGGUGAAGCGUGCGCUCUCCGCCAGCAGCCUCCUGGCACUCACCCAGUCCCCACUGCUGUGCCCGGGACACACACCACCAUCUCGGAGGAGGGGUCUUCAAGGAGAGGAAUCGGAGGCCUUCCAGAUCCCUGCCCCCCAGGAGCUGUCUCCCUUCCACAUGAUGGCUUCCAGGAAGCGGCCACUUAGCAGGACUUACUCACGGAAAAAGCUGCUCAGCUGAAGUUUAGAGCUGGAAACUUUGCAUCACUCCAGCUGUACAACAUCCUUUUUAACAAGGACCCUAUAUCUGGUGCUGGAUUGGAGCUGUCUCGUGUUGGUGAGAGACUGGUUGCAAGCAUGUGACAGGGGAAAUAAGAACCACUCUAAAAGGGCUUUUUUUAACCUCAAUUGCAGCAUCUCCCUGCCCAUUGGAAGCUCAUCUCGGUCUGUCUGGCACUUCCUCUGCAUGUGGUAGCCGAGUUCUGCAGUGAAGGCUCAAUUCUGCUGAGCAAACAGGGAGAUUUGUCACUUUUCUACAGCUUUCUUGUAAAAUAAACUGAUGUGAAUCUUCAUUUUGUUACUUAAAUCAGAAACCUGCCUUUAGCCCACGUGCUGGGUGAGGGACUGAGGCUGCAGGAAGAAAGAUGCUGGAGGUGCAUACGUACAAAACAAACUGCAGGCUCCUCCUGUGUUCUGAUACUAACAGAAUUCCUGUUUGUUGCAUCCAGUUUGCCACAGCUUUGUGGGGAAAUAACAAACGAAUUAACUCGCAAUGGACUCGGAAAUACUUGACAAGGGAAGGAGUCUGAUUCUCCCUCUUUGUAGAUCAUGAAUGAGUUGGUGUGUCUGCCCCUGGCCACUGAUGGGUAAGGGGAUGCUGAUGGAGGAACUUUGCUGUCCUUUUCUGCAGCCUUGCAGUGAGACAGGACUGGCUGGGGAAGCUUCCUCCAGAGGAUAAGGGACAGAGUAUCUGGGAAAUCACCCCACUGUGCACAGGAAGCAGAGACUUCACUCUGUGAAGUGAGUGUGAGGUCAUCCUAAAACCAGGCACAGCCCUGCUGAGGUUUGUUACAGGGCUGGGAGGGGAUGGAGAGAAUGGAAUGGAAUUUGUUGCAGGAAUGAUGACUGUUCCCCUCUUAAGAGGUGGGGAAGAGUGCCAUUACCAGGGAUGUCUUGAUGCUGGAAGAAGUGUAUCUGCUUCAAGGACAUGGAUAAAUACACAAGCAUGGAGCUUCCAACACUACUACUUACAUCCAAAUAGGAUGGAUUCUUUUCCCUACUGAAGAUCUUUAACAGCAGCAAAUAAAAGUCUUAAAUCUUGAGCAGCUCAGACAGAGCCCUCAGUAAUGCCCCCCAUCAACCCCACACCUCACCAGCACAUUCAGGUAUGGAAAAGGAAGAUCAGAAGGUGGUUCCCACUUCAGAUACUGGCUUUUAACUUGGGUCCUGGUACCCCACAAAUGGGGGCUGUGACAGGUGUGCUCUUUGUGAUUUCAGGCUGAAGCUGGGGCUUGCUUUUUGGGGUCAGGUACCCAAGCUACUGUUUUCACUCUUAAAGCAGCUACCUGGACUUUCAUUUCUUGCCCUAAACUUAAAUUCCCUUUUCCAGAGGUGGAUGGUAUCAAUAUUAAACUGCAGAACUGUAUUUCCUCUCCCUUACACCCAGACUGGACGUUUUCCCAAGAAUCCAAAACCAGCUUACAGGCUCCACCAGAAAAACAGAACCAGUUCCUUUUAUCCUGGAUGCUUCAGACAGUCCUGCUGCUGGGCUGGAGAUGCUUUUCCUGCAGCAACUCCAGGGAAGAAGCCUACUUGAAACAUUAAGAAAACACUGUGCCAGCAGCCGAGUUCCCAGGCAGUGACAUUUAAACAGAACCAGUGCAGUACUGGACAGUGACAAG